Molecule: unclassified non-coding RNA, 352 nt
Filed under: soil metagenome
Description: partial contains 5.8S ribosomal RNA, internal transcribed spacer 2, and large subunit ribosomal RNA
Rfam family: 5.8S ribosomal RNA (bases 1-120)
Source: RNAcentral
GAUGAAGAACGCAGCGAAAUGCGAUAAGUAAUGUGAAUUGCAGAAUUCAGUGAAUCAUCGAAUCUUUGAACGCACAUUGCGCCCGCCAGUAUUCAGGCGGGCAUGCCUGUUCGAGCGUCAUUACAACCCUCAGGCCCCCGGGCCUGGCGUUGGGGAUCGGCGGAGCCCCCCGUGGGCACACGCCGUCCCCCAAAUGCAGUGGCGGUCCCGCCGCAGCUUCCAUCGCGUAGUAGCUAACACCUCGCGACUGGAGAGCGGCGCGGCCACGCCGUAAAACACCCAACUCUUCUGAAGUUGACCUCGAAUCAGGUAGGAAUACCCGCUGAACUUAAGCAUAUCAAUAAGCGGAGGA